CUGGAGAACCCCAUAGACAGAGGUGCCUGGUGGGCUAUAGUCCAUGGUACUAGCUUAUGAUGAAUGAUGUCAGAUUCAUGAGCUCCAAAGAAGAUUUAGCUUCAGGACCAGGGACCAGGCUUGAUCACUCAAGAGCUUUUGUGUAGCAGUUUUAUUAAAGUA
This is a long non-coding RNA of Cervus elaphus (red deer), 162 nucleotides long. RefSeq lists it as uncharacterized. The transcript is spliced from 2 exons. The record is from RefSeq and is a predicted model, not a curated record. Lineage: Eukaryota; Metazoa; Chordata; Mammalia; Artiodactyla; Cervidae.